This 102-nucleotide ribosomal RNA is filed under the name uncultured bacterium. RNAcentral's name for it is "partial 16S ribosomal RNA". It matches the Rfam family "Bacterial small subunit ribosomal RNA", at positions 1382 to 1482 of the family's 1533-position model. The record is from RNAcentral.
CGUACACACCGCCCGUCACGUCCUGAAAGUGGGCAAUACGUGAAGCCAGUGGCCCAACCCGCAAGGGAGGGAGCUGUCGAGCGUAGGUUCGCGAUUGGGACG